UACGAAGGGGGCUAGCGUUGCUCGGAAUUACUGGGCGUAAAGCGCACGUAGGCGGUCUUUUAAGUCGGGGGUGAAAUCCUGGAGCUCAACUCCAGAACUGCCUUCGAUACUGGAAGACUUGAGUCCGGGAGAGGUGAGUGGAACUGCGAGUGUAGAGGUGAAAUUCGUAGAUAUUCGCAAGAACACCAGUGGCGAAGGCGGCUCACUGGCCCGGUACUGACGCUGAGGUGCGAAAGCGUGGGGAGCAAGACGG
RNAcentral lists this ribosomal RNA (253 nucleotides) under uncultured bacterium. RNAcentral describes it as "partial 16S ribosomal RNA". It matches the Rfam family "Bacterial small subunit ribosomal RNA", at positions 524 to 776 of the family's 1533-position model. The record is from RNAcentral.